Molecule: transfer RNA, 82 nt
Filed under: Caudoviricetes sp.
Lineage: Duplodnaviria; Heunggongvirae; Uroviricota; Caudoviricetes
Description: tRNA-Leu
Rfam family: tRNA
About the family: Transfer RNA (tRNA) molecules are approximately 80 nucleotides in length. Their secondary structure includes four short double-helical elements and three loops (D, anti-codon, and T loops). Further hydrogen bonds mediate the characteristic L-shaped molecular structure. tRNAs have two regions of fundamental functional importance: the anti-codon, which is responsible for specific mRNA codon recognition, and the 3' end, to which the tRNAs corresponding amino acid is attached (by aminoacyl-tRNA synthetases). tRNAs cope with the degeneracy of the genetic code in two manners: having more than one tRNA (with a specific anti-codon) for a particular amino acid; and 'wobble' base-pairing, i.e. permitting non-standard base-pairing at the 3rd anti-codon position.
Source: RNAcentral
GGGCGUAUGGCGAAAUGGCAGUACGCAGUUGCCCUAGGAGCAACCGUCGAGAGACGUGGAGGUUCGAAUCCUCUUACGCCCA